UGAUAAUGAUGAAUGUUUUGUUAUAUGUUUUUUUCUGGCAUCUCUAAUGUUAGCCUGGUUUGAUCACCAUGGCAAUGAAUACAACCCUUGACUACUAUCUGAUA
This 104-nucleotide small nucleolar RNA is filed under the name Pichia kudriavzevii. Its description in RNAcentral is "Small nucleolar RNA snR48". It matches the Rfam family "Small nucleolar RNA snR48". Rfam says of the family: snR48 is a member of the C/D class of snoRNA which contain the C (UGAUGA) and D (CUGA) box motifs. The record is from Rfam by way of RNAcentral. Lineage: Eukaryota; Fungi; Ascomycota; Pichiomycetes; Pichiales; Pichiaceae.